Long non-coding RNA from Melospiza georgiana, 1803 nucleotides. RefSeq lists it as uncharacterized. NCBI's taxonomy places the organism in Eukaryota, Metazoa, Chordata, Aves, Passeriformes, Passerellidae. The transcript has 4 exons. The record is from RefSeq and is a predicted model, not a curated record.
GCAAAGCCACCCCCCCUUCCGCCCCUGCCCUCCCGAGCCCCGGGGAAAAUGCUUUCCAGCAUUGUCGAGCUUCUGAAAGACAAAACUUGUGAUUUGACACUAGCAUCCAGAAAAGGUUUCUGUCUAGAUUAGCAAAUGCCUAAAUUGUUCUUGGUUACGUCCCAUGACCAGUUUUAGGCAGUGACUUCAUACUGCUUUUAGGAUUUUCUUGUACACUGGUGAGAAAAUAGGCAGGUCUGAUAGUGGUUUCACUUUUUUUCUACUUCACGUUCCAUAAGAUUCUUUUAUCCAAGCGAUUGUUUUAAAAUUCUACUGUAAGCGUUUGUGGUUCACUUUUUUUUUCUUUGCAGCACCCGGGCCUUUUUUUUUUUCUCUAAAUCGGGAGUAAAUAUAGCUGAGUAAAAUUACCUUGGUUAUCUUCCUUCUUUUUAAACUUAAUUGUUUUUAUUAAUAAUUCUAUUUGAAUAUGCAGAAAAAGUGGGUAUGUCCUGUAAUCUAUGCUAGCUUUUCUCGUUUACAGGGUACUCACAAAAUAUGUCUCCCUUAGUGUCCCACAGAAACAUUCUGGGUGAAAUCUGAAUUAAGUGCUAUGAGUCUUGAUAAAUUGGAGAAGUGCCCAAGAGAAAUUCAUCAUCCUGAGAUACAAAAGGUAGGAAGUGACUUUUUUUGGUUUGGUUCUUUUUCUUUAUUGUUUUCUGGAAAUAGAAGUAAUUAAGUAUAGAUACUACUGGUUUGUUUCUUCCAGUAGCUGAUAAUACUAAUACCAAUAAUAAUAAUAAUAAGAGUAAAGUAAUACUACUUAAACUGUCUUUAUUUAUCCAUUGAACUGGCCAUUUUAAAUCUAAACUUCUAAACACAAAUCAAACCAUCAUCCUUGUAGAAUCUUUAAUAGGAGUGGGCUAAAGAUCCUGGUUUUGUUGACAGGAUUUAUUGGUUCAUGAAGAGCAAGAGGUAAGUACAAGCCUAACUACCCUCUAGCUCACAGACCUGCCCGGUGAAUAGAGCUUUGUUUUUUUGAUGGGCUUGUGAUGACUUUGAGAUCAAUUGCUCAUUCAUUACAGUAAAAAAAAAAAAAAUUGUUUUGAACAUGACAGCAAAAAUAACUUUAAGCACAACUUAAUAAUAAUAGAUCACCAAUUUUAGUUAAUAAUUUUAUGCUAUACUCUUGGGUGAGGGAAGACUCGGACACUCAAUAUGAGAUCAGCAAGCUAUGUUUAUUGCAGAGAGUAUCAGACACUUAUACAGCACAUAAUAAGCUUAUGAAUAUUCUGUAAGCCAAGCGAUCUAUUGGUUAAACUAUACCAUCAACUCUUCCUCAUUCCUUUGGGCCUACAUUCCCUAUUUCCCACGUCUCUCUGUCUACUUGUUAUCCUACCCAGCUAGGCCCAGGCACACGCUAUCUUGCAGGUGCAAAACUCAAAAAUACCUGUGUUCGGUACUUUCCCAACUCCUGGUCGGCUAACGAGCGAAUGUCUGCGUGACCUCUGUCAUGGAGCCAUUUCUCCACACUAUACUAUCAAAGUUUAAAGGGAUCAGUGAAUUUUAACUCUGGAGUCCUCUAUGCUAAGGAUGCUCAGCUUACAGAUGAUGAAAUGUUCAGUAAUGUAUUUGCUGCAGCUCUGCUUACCCAAGCUUUGGGUUCCUUCUGUCCCACUGGGAGUGGCCCAAUUUGGUUGCAUCUGGUGAAAUUCACCCUGAGACCUUACAGAACCAGCUCCAACUACGUGAGAGCCAUUUGCAGUUCUCUCCAGACGCCUGGAGAAUGGGCGACGUUUCUGAGGAUCCGGCGAGUGUGCUUCUGUC